AACGAACGCUGGCGGCGUGGAUAAGACAUGCAAGUCGAACGGGACAACAUCUGUAGCAAUACAGGUGUUGUUUAGUGGCGAACGGGUGCGUAACACGUGGGCAAUCUGCCGAGAAGUGGGGGAGUAGCUCGCCGAAAGGACGAAUUAAUACCGCAUAUGAUCAGUGAAGACAUCUUCACGACAUCAAAGACCGGGGCGAACCUGGCGCUUCUUGAUGAGCCCGCGGCCUAUCAGCUAGUUGGUGAGGUAACGGCUCACCAAGGC
This 264-nucleotide ribosomal RNA is filed under the name uncultured bacterium. RNAcentral's name for it is "partial 16S ribosomal RNA". It matches the Rfam family "Bacterial small subunit ribosomal RNA", at positions 29 to 274 of the family's 1533-position model. The record is from RNAcentral.